UGUCUUCACCACCUAUGAUAAUGAUCUUAUUAUUCCAAGACGAACAGGAAUGGCUCUCACGCUUACAUGGGGGAGUGCCUGAUGGCGCAAUGCAUUUCCAAACAUAUGUCUCUGCCAAAUGAGAAGAAGCAUUAAAAAAAGUUUAUGAAAUAACCACCACCAGGAUCACUAGCUCCCCACCCCCUCCCCGGCGUGCACUCUUCUCUCUCUCAUGUGUGUGUAUAUAUGAGAUUAAAAACCAUCAACUUCAUAGGAAAGAAAACCAAGAGCUGUAUGAGAUCUAAAAACUGGAUCCCUAACAACUGUGCAAGACCUGAGUGAUUUAAGUAGCAGUAGAAUACAAAAUGCAUAUGAACAAUAGGAUAAGAACAAUGUGAGUGCACCUUUGAAGAGAUCGUCUAACUUUCUCUCAGAUUAUAAACUACUAGAGACGGGAGGUUUCUUUUCCGAGGAGUUGCAAUGCUUAGGGUUCAAUUCCUAAGAGAACUAAAAUUUUGAGACAGAAACGACUGGCUGAUGCCUCCUAUUUUUCUUCACCUUCCUCUUCCAUUAUUACGCUCAAGUCAUAAUGCAAAAUUCACCGUACUAGCUAACUGCAGUCUACCAUUAGCCACCUUAAUAACAGAGCGAGAGAGAGACAGAGAGAGAGAGAGAGAGAGAGAGAGAGAGAGAGAGAGAGAGAGAGAGAGAGCUGUAUUCAAUACAUAAACAUCAUCAUAGUAUAUUUCAGUGUCAUCAUAUUUGCCGCAUCCACCAAAUAUGAAAAGCCGUUUUCCAAUAAGUGCUGCACUGUGGCCUUCCCUUGGAUUAGGG
Molecule: long non-coding RNA, 813 nt
Filed under: Nicotiana benthamiana
Lineage: Eukaryota; Viridiplantae; Streptophyta; Magnoliopsida; Solanales; Solanaceae
Description: long non-coding RNA (NBEN_LNC007996)
Source: RNAcentral